This 468-nucleotide ribosomal RNA is filed under the name uncultured bacterium. Its description in RNAcentral is "partial 16S ribosomal RNA". It matches the Rfam family "Bacterial small subunit ribosomal RNA", at positions 28 to 507 of the family's 1533-position model. The record is from RNAcentral.
GACGAACGCUGGCGGCGUGCUUAACACAUGCAAGUCGAACGGAAAGGCCCUGCUUUUGUGGGGUGCUCGAGUGGCGAACGGGUGAGUAACACGUGAGUAACCUGCCCUUGACUUUGGGAUAACUUCAGGAAACUGGGGCUAAUACCGGGUAGGAGCUCCUGCUGCAUGGUGGGGGUUGGAAAGUGUCGGCGGUUGUGGAUGGACUCGCGGCUUAUGAGCUUGUUGGGGGGGUAGUGGCUUACCAGGGCUUUGACGGGUAGCCGGCCUGGGAGGGUGAACGGCCACAUUGGGACUGAGAGACGGACCAGACGCGUACGUGAGGCAGUAGGGGGGAACAUGGCACAAUGGGGGGAAGUCUGAUGCAGCAAUGUCGGGUGCGGGAUGAUGGGCUUCGGGGUGUAAACCGCUUUCGCCUGUGACGUAGCGGGAGUGACGGUAAUGGGUAAAGAAGCAACGGCUAACUACGUG